RNAcentral lists this ribosomal RNA (186 nucleotides) under Triticum aestivum (bread wheat). RNAcentral's name for it is "partial small subunit ribosomal RNA". Lineage: Eukaryota; Viridiplantae; Streptophyta; Magnoliopsida; Poales; Poaceae. The record is from RNAcentral.
AUGCCCAUCGCAGGGCGGCAUGUGCUCGUUCGGUGUGUGCUGACAGCGCUUCCCGCCUUCGUGAUGGCCGUCCUACGCAUCCCAAAGAAAUUCUUCAAAGACGUGGACAAGGCUCGACGACGCUUCCUAUGGGCCCAAGACGAGGAGAUCACCGACGGGAAGUGCAAGGUUAACUGGCGGACAGUC